AAUAAGACAUUGAUCAGACUAGUAGUAUAUAAGCGCCUGAAAGAGAUUGGAAUUCACCGGCUGAAAAAUUCCAUUGGGGACAGCGUAUAUGAACCUGCCUGAGAGUAGUUAGUAAAAAGCUAACCGCAGUGGAACUGUGUUGACAACAAAAGCUGGGCAUAAAUAUGCCAAUUUAGGUGGUACCGCGGAAACUCAUUCCGUCCUGAGA
RNAcentral lists this non-coding RNA (208 nucleotides) under Oceanobacillus picturae. Lineage: Bacteria; Bacillati; Bacillota; Bacilli; Caryophanales; Bacillaceae. The record is from RNAcentral.